RNAcentral lists this unclassified non-coding RNA (158 nucleotides) under uncultured Auriculariales. RNAcentral describes it as "sequence contains ITS1". Lineage: Eukaryota; Fungi; Basidiomycota; Agaricomycetes; Auriculariales. The record is from RNAcentral.
AAGAUUCGAGGCUUCGGCCUUCACCUCUUCAGCUGUGCGCUUCGGCUGCACGCUGUCGAACUACACACACCUGUGCACCUUAUCGGUUUCGGCCUCACGGUCGUCGCCGCUUUACAUCUUACAACUUCAGUUCAGAAUGUUUAAACUAUAAAAAGUAA